This 440-nucleotide ribosomal RNA is filed under the name uncultured bacterium. RNAcentral describes it as "partial 16S ribosomal RNA". It matches the Rfam family "Bacterial small subunit ribosomal RNA", at positions 339 to 795 of the family's 1533-position model. The record is from RNAcentral.
CUACGGGCGGCUGCAGUGAGGAAUAUUGCACAAUGGGGGGAACCCUGAUGCAGCAACGCCGCGUGGAGGAUGACGCAUUUCGGUGUGUAAACUCCUUUUAUAUGUCAAGAAAAUGACGGUAGCAUAUGAAUAAGCACCGACUAAGCUCCGUGCCAGCAGCCGCGGUAAUACGGAGGGUGCAAGCGUUACUCGGAAUCACUGGGCGUAAAGGACGCGUAGGCUGGUUGGAAAGUCAGGUGUGAAAUCCUACAGCUUAACUGUAGAACUGCACUUGAAACUUCUAAUCUAGAGUAUGGGAGGGGGAGAUGGAAUUAGUGGUGUAGGGGUAAAAUCCGUAGAUAUCACUAGGAAUACCUAAAGCGAAGGCGAUCUCCUGGAACAUUACUGACGCUAAGGCGUGAAAGCGUGGGGAGCAAACAGGAUUAGAUACCCUCGUAGUC